GACGAACGCUGGCGGCGUGCUUAACACAUGCAAGUCGAACGGAAAGGCCCUGCUUUUGUGGGGUGCUCGAGUGGCGAACGGGUGAGUAACACGUGAGUAACCUGCCCUUGACUUUGGGAUAACUUCAGGAAACUGGGGCUAAUACCGGAUAGGAGCUCCUGCUGCAUGGUGGGGGUUGGAAGGUUCGGCGGGUGGGGAUGGACUCGCGGCUUAUCAGCUUGUUGGUGGGGUAGUGGCUUACCAAGGCUUUGACGGGUAGCCGGCCUGAGAGGGUGACCGGCCACAUUGGGACUGAGAUACGGCCCAGACUCCUACGGGAGGCAGCAGUGGGGAAUAUUGCACAAUGGGCGGAAGCCUGAUGCAGCAACGCCGCGUGCGGGAUGACGGCCUUCGGGUUGUAAACCGCUUUCGCCUGUGACGAAGCGUGAGUGACGGUAAUGGGUAAAGAAGCACCGGCUAACUACGUG
This 467-nucleotide ribosomal RNA is filed under the name uncultured bacterium. Its description in RNAcentral is "partial 16S ribosomal RNA". It matches the Rfam family "Bacterial small subunit ribosomal RNA", at positions 28 to 507 of the family's 1533-position model. The record is from RNAcentral.